AUUAGACUUUCUAAUAAACUUUUUUAUUCUGUUUACAAUUAUUAUAUUUUAAAUUAAAUUUAGUUACUGUUAUUGAUAAAAAGAAAAGGACUCCCUUUUGCAUUAUGGGUAAAUAAAAAAUUUUUUAAUUUACACGUCCCGAAAAAGAAGUAUUUAGCCUUAAAAAUAAUAAAAGUUUAAUAUUUUAGAUUAAUUAGGGUUUAAAGUGAUAUGCUUUAUCUUCUUAUAUCUGGUUGUGAAUAUUCUAUUUUAAAUAACAUCUUAGAAGGGUGGUAGUUUUAUAGAGAUAAGUUUAUAAAACUAAUUAUGAAGAAAUAUUUUAGUAAAUAAAAUCAGGAAUAAUAAUUUCUUUAAUUUAACAAUUAAAUUAAAAUUACAUUUUUAAUCUUCUAGUUUUUUUUUCACAUCUUGGGUUAAUUUUUUACUUAAGUAUAUCAUAUUUAUAUUAGUAUAAAAUUAUGUAAAAUAAAUAAAUAAAACUAAUAACAUUUUUAUUUAAAUUAAUAAAAGUAUAAGUACUCGUCCAAAAUUUGUUGAGCUGUUUAACAAAAACAUCGCUUUAAAAAAAGCACACCCUGCUCAAUGAAAAAUUUAAAUAGCCGGGUUUCGCUAAGGUAGCAUAAUAAUUAGCCUUUUAAUUGGAGGUGUGUAUGAAAGGGUAAAUCGAGCAAAUAAAUUUUUACUUAUAAUUAGAAUUUUUUUAAAAGUGAAAAAACUUUUAUGUUCUUUUUAGACGAUAAGACCCUAUGAAGCUAAGAACAACUUUUUAUUAAAAUUUACAUGUGUCAAUUAUUUGGGGAAAAGAAAAAUAAUAUUAUUUUUAUUUUAGUAAAUUUUUGAUCUUAAAAAAAUAUAAAGAAAUAGCUACUCUAGGGAUAACAGCGUUAUAGUUAAAAGAGCCCUUAUCAAAUUAACUUACUGCGACCUCGAUGUUGAAUUAUGGAGUUUUACUGGGGCAGCUUCUAGUAAAAUUAGUCUGUUCGACUACCCAUCCAUACAUGAUUUGAGUUUAGAUCGAUGCGAAUCAGAUUGGUUUCUAUCUAAAAGUUAUUCAUAGAUUUUUAGUACGAAAGGAAUUAAAUUUAUUUU
Molecule: ribosomal RNA, 1089 nt
Filed under: Eurytemora affinis
Lineage: Eukaryota; Metazoa; Arthropoda; Copepoda; Calanoida; Temoridae
Description: 16S ribosomal RNA
Rfam family: Archaeal large subunit ribosomal RNA (bases 726-1047)
Source: RNAcentral